Non-coding RNA from Vanrija pseudolonga, 85 nucleotides. The record is from the annotation of a RefSeq genome assembly. Lineage: Eukaryota; Fungi; Basidiomycota; Tremellomycetes; Trichosporonales; Trichosporonaceae.
GUGGGUGUAGGGAAGUGGUCAAACCCAUUGGCGUUAGGUGCCAACAGCCGAAGGGCUUUCCCGGGUUCGAUCCCCGGCGCCCAUA